RNAcentral lists this ribosomal RNA (468 nucleotides) under uncultured bacterium. RNAcentral describes it as "partial 16S ribosomal RNA". It matches the Rfam family "Bacterial small subunit ribosomal RNA", at positions 28 to 507 of the family's 1533-position model. The record is from RNAcentral.
GACGAACGCUGGCGGCGUGCUUAACACAUGCAAGUCGAACGGAAAGGCCCUGCUUUUGUGGGGUGCUCGAGUGGCGAACGGGUGAGUAACACGUGAGUAACCUGCCCUUGACUUUGGGAUAACUUCAGGAAACUGGGGCUAAUACCGGAUAGGAGCUCCUGCUGCAUGGUGGGGGUUGGAAAGUUUCGGCGGUUGGGGAUGGACUCGCGGCUUAUCAGCUUGUUGGUGGGGUAGUGGCUUACCAAGGCUUUGACGGGUAGCCGGCCUGAGAGGGUGACCGGCGACAUGGGGACUGAGAUACGGACCAGUAGGCUACGGGAGGCAGUAGUGGGGAAUAUUGCACAAUGGGCGGAAGCCUGAUGCAGCAACGCCGCGUGCGGGAUGACGGCCUUCGGGUUGUAAACCGCUUUCGCAUGUGACGAAGCGUGAGUGACGGUAAUGGGUAAAGAAGCACCGGCUAACUACGUG